GGGUGUGGGGAAACAGCCCGAGGGGCGGCCCGGCGGCACAAAGAGGGAGAAGGGCAUGAAUUAAUCAGGGAAUAUUUUAUAUGAGCUUAAAAUUGUGAGGGUGCUCACUGUGUGGUUUUGGGGUCAGAUGCAGCGUCCCGAUUCAGGAGAGCUGUUCGAGGUGGAGAUCGCCGGCGGCACAUGCAAGGAGCCACACCAAGAGAGGAGGAAGGAAACCAUUGCAGAAAUGGGAGUGGUGCAAAGCCCAAGCCUCAGAGCUCUGCUUUAGUGGGUCAGCUGCCAAGAGCUGCGUGACUCCACUUCCCUGGCUGAUGGAGUCGCCUUAUGAGAAUGAGACCAGGACAGCUGGAUCACAGACCUGCAAACCAGGCUUGGGCAAGGUGAACUUGUGCUUUUACUGUGAAUGUAGGCUGAAAGUACAUGUAUUUUAACAACUUUGCUAUCCUUCUACAUGAAAGAAAGAUCUGCUUGCUUUCUCUUUAGAUGAGUCCUUCUCCUGCAGGUUUGUCCUGUUCUUGUGUCACCACUAAUGCACUUAGGACUGAAUAAGCUCCCUGGCUGUUGCAUCAUGAGCAGAAUUAUUGCUUGCACUUCCUGAAUUUAUCUUCAUUUUCAUAUUGAAGUCAGCAAUAGUAGCUUUUAAUAUUAAAUGGGCCAGGCUGACAACUAGUAAAUUGAAACAGCAAACAAAAUGUGAUAUAAAAAUCAGAGGAGUCACCAUUGCUUUUCUUCCAAACACUUGAAAUAAGAGUAAAAAUCUUAUUUCAGUUUUACUGCUUGUAAAGGAGAAGGAACACUGGGG
Molecule: long non-coding RNA, 802 nt
Filed under: Zonotrichia albicollis (white-throated sparrow)
Lineage: Eukaryota; Metazoa; Chordata; Aves; Passeriformes; Passerellidae
Description: lncRNA (ENSZALG00000016623.1)
Source: RNAcentral